GAUGAAGAACGCAGCGAAAUGCGAUACGUAAUGUGAAUUGCAGAAUUCAGUGAAUCAUCGAAUCUUUGAACGCAUAUUGCGCUCUCUGGUAUUCCGGAGAGCAUGCUUGUUUGAGUAUCAGUAAACACCUCAACUUCCAUAUCUUUUUUGAAAUGGGAGUUGGACUUGAGUGAUCCCAACGCUUUUCCUCACCGAAAAGUGGCGGGUUACUUGAAAUGCAGGUGCAGCUGGACUUUUCUCUGAGCUAUAAGCAUAUCUAUUUAGUCUGCCUAAAGAACAGAUUAUUACCUUUGCUGCAGCUAACAUAAAGGAGAUUAGUUCUUGUGCUGACUGAUGCAGGAUUCACAAAGACAGGCUUCGGCCGACUUUGUAAACUCGAUCUCAAAUCAAGUAAGACUACCCGCUGAACUUAAGCAUAUCAAUAAGCGGAGGA
Molecule: unclassified non-coding RNA, 433 nt
Filed under: soil metagenome
Description: partial contains 5.8S ribosomal RNA, internal transcribed spacer 2, and large subunit ribosomal RNA
Rfam family: 5.8S ribosomal RNA (bases 1-120)
Source: RNAcentral